CCAUAGCUCAGCUGGAUAGAGCAACGGCCUUCUAAGCCGUGGGUCGCAGGUUCGAAUCCUGCUGG
This 65-nucleotide transfer RNA is filed under the name human gut metagenome. It matches the Rfam family "tRNA", at positions 5 to 66 of the family's 71-position model. Rfam says of the family: Transfer RNA (tRNA) molecules are approximately 80 nucleotides in length. Their secondary structure includes four short double-helical elements and three loops (D, anti-codon, and T loops). RNAcentral also lists the same sequence under 1 other name. The record is from RNAcentral.